RNAcentral lists this ribosomal RNA (419 nucleotides) under uncultured Desulfuromonadaceae bacterium. RNAcentral's name for it is "partial 16S ribosomal RNA". It matches the Rfam family "Bacterial small subunit ribosomal RNA", at positions 338 to 749 of the family's 1533-position model. Lineage: Bacteria; Pseudomonadati; Thermodesulfobacteriota; Desulfuromonadia; Desulfuromonadales; Desulfuromonadaceae. The record is from RNAcentral.
CCUACGGGGGGCAGCAGUGGGGAAUUUUGCGCAAUGGGGGCAACCCUGACGCAGCAACGCCGCGUGAGUGAUGAAGGCCUUCGGGUCGUAAAGCUCUGUCAGAGGGGAAGAAAUGCAGGUGGUGAACAACCAUUCUGUUUGACGGUACCCUCAAAGGAAGCACCGGCUAACUCCGUGCCAGCAGCCGCGGUAAUACGGAGGGUGCGAGCGUUGUUCGGAAUUAUUGGGCGUAAAGCGCGUGUAGGCGGUUUGUUAAGUCGGAGGGAAAAGCCCCGGGGUCAACCGGGGAAGUGCAUUGGAUACUGGCAGACUUGAGUACGGGAGAGGGGAGUGGAAUUCCCAGUGUAGGAGUGAAAUCCGUAGAUAUUGGGAGGAACACCGGUGGCGAAGGCGGCUCUCGGGACCGAUACUGAGGCGGA